CAGUCGCCGCGGUAAUACGAAGGGUGCAAGCGUUACUCGGAAUUACUGGGCGUAAAGCGUGCGUAGGUGGUGGUUUAAGUCCGUUGUGAAAGCCCUGGGCUCAACCUGGGAAUUGCAGUGGAUACUGGGUCACUAGAGUGUGGUAGAGGAUAGUGGAAUUUCCGGUGUAGCAGUGAAAUGCGUAGAGAUCGGAAGGAACAUCUGUGGCGAAGGCGACUAUCUGGGCCAACACUGACACUGAGGCACGAAAGCGUGGGGAGCAAACAGGAUUAGAUACCCCUGUAGUCCCUGUCUCUUAUCA
Molecule: ribosomal RNA, 301 nt
Filed under: uncultured bacterium
Lineage: Bacteria
Description: partial 16S ribosomal RNA
Rfam family: Bacterial small subunit ribosomal RNA
Source: RNAcentral